Molecule: ribosomal RNA, 253 nt
Filed under: uncultured prokaryote
Description: partial 16S ribosomal RNA
Rfam family: Bacterial small subunit ribosomal RNA
Source: RNAcentral
UACGUAGGCAGCAAGCGUUGUUCGGAAUUACUGGGCGUAAAGAGUGUGUAGGUGGUGUUCCAAGUUUGUCGUGAAAUCUCCCGGCUUAACUGGGAGGGUGCGGCGAAAACUGGAAUGCUUGAGGAUGGGAGAGGAAAGCGGAAUUCCUGGUGUAGCGGUGAAAUGCGUAGAUAUCAGGAGGAAUACCGGUGGCGAAAGCGACUCUCUGGACGGCAACUGACGCUGAGGCACGAAAGCGUGGGGAGCAAACAGG